RNAcentral lists this ribosomal RNA (253 nucleotides) under uncultured bacterium. RNAcentral's name for it is "partial 16S ribosomal RNA". It matches the Rfam family "Bacterial small subunit ribosomal RNA", at positions 524 to 776 of the family's 1533-position model. The record is from RNAcentral.
UACGGAGGGAGCUAGCGUUGUUCGGAACUACUGGGCGUAAAGCGCACGUAGGCGGCGCAGCAAGUCAGGGGUGAAAUCCCGGGGCUCAACCCCGGAACUGCCCUUGAAACUGCAGUGCUAGAAUCCUGGAGAGGCGAGUGGAAUUCCGAGUGUAGAGGUGAAAUUCGUAGAUAUUCGGAAGAACACCAGUGGCGAAGGCGACUCGCUGGACAGGUAUUGACGCUGAGGUGCGAAAGCGUGGGGAGCAAACAGG